GGCUGGUUAGCUCAGUCAGUUGAGUGUGGUGCUUACAACGUCAAGGUCGUGGGUUUGAUUCCCAUUCGGUCC
Molecule: transfer RNA, 72 nt
Filed under: Apaloderma vittatum (bar-tailed trogon)
Lineage: Eukaryota; Metazoa; Chordata; Aves; Trogoniformes; Trogonidae
Rfam family: tRNA
About the family: Transfer RNA (tRNA) molecules are approximately 80 nucleotides in length. Their secondary structure includes four short double-helical elements and three loops (D, anti-codon, and T loops).
Source: Rfam by way of RNAcentral